RNAcentral lists this unclassified non-coding RNA (322 nucleotides) under soil metagenome. RNAcentral's name for it is "partial contains 5.8S ribosomal RNA, internal transcribed spacer 2, and large subunit ribosomal RNA". The stretch from base 1 to 120 matches the Rfam family "5.8S ribosomal RNA", at positions 35 to 154 of the family's 154-position model. The record is from RNAcentral.
GAUGAAGAACGUAGCGAAAUGCGAUAAGUAAUGUGAAUUGCGGAAUUCAGUGAAUCAUCGAAUCUUUGAACGCACAUUGCGCCCUUUGGCAUUCCGAAGGGCACACCUGUCCGAGCGCCGUCGCACAACUGAGGCGCAGCCUUGCGUUGGCGGGCGACUUGUGAGUAGCGAGUCGCCGCCCAAACGAGACGGCGCCGCGCCGCGGCCGACGAAGCACGAAAGCGGAAGUCGACGCGGAGGCGGUUGCCUGUAGGAAGACACAGCUUGGCCUCGGAUCAGGUGGGGAUACCCGCUGAACUUAAGCAUAUCAAUAAGCGGAGGA